ACGCUCGACACCUACGGGAGACAGCAGUGGGGAAUAUUGCACAAUGGGGGAAACCCUGAUGCAGCGACGCCGCGUGAGGGAAGAAGGUUUUCGGAUUGUAAACCUCUGUCCUUGGUGAAGAAGGAAGACGGUAGCCAAGGAGGAAGCCACGGCUAACUACGUGCCAACAGCCGCGGUAAUCUGAGCGGGCUGGCAAGGC
RNAcentral lists this ribosomal RNA (199 nucleotides) under uncultured bacterium. RNAcentral's name for it is "partial 16S ribosomal RNA". It matches the Rfam family "Bacterial small subunit ribosomal RNA", at positions 328 to 539 of the family's 1533-position model. The record is from RNAcentral.